GACGGGUAUCCGGCCUGAGAGGGUGAACAGACACACUGGAACUGAGACACGGUCCAGACUCCUACGGGAGGCAGCAGUAGGGAAUAUUGCUCAAUGGGGGAAACCCUGAAGCAGCAACGCCGCGUGGAGGAUGAGGGUUUUAGGAUUGUAAACUCCUUUUGUUAGAGAAGAUUAUGACGGUAUCUAACGAAUAAGCACCGGCUAACUCCGUGCCAGCAGCCGCGGUAAUACGGAGGGUGCAAGCGUUACUCGGAAUCACUGGGCGUAAAGAGUGCGCAGGCGGGAUAGCAAGUCAGAUGUGAAAUGCUAUGGCUUAACCAUAGAACUGCAUUUGAAACUGUUAUUCUA
RNAcentral lists this ribosomal RNA (348 nucleotides) under uncultured Helicobacter sp. Its description in RNAcentral is "bacterial SSU rRNA". It matches the Rfam family "Bacterial small subunit ribosomal RNA", at positions 278 to 643 of the family's 1533-position model. The record is from RNAcentral. Lineage: Bacteria; Pseudomonadati; Campylobacterota; Epsilonproteobacteria; Campylobacterales; Helicobacteraceae.